AUGAGAAGUCGUGCUGAAUUAGAAAAUUUUCAGAACAUCAUAACAAGAAACUCUUUACAAAUUAACGAAUAUGUCUCAUCAUCACAAGUCAACUUAAAGACACAUCUUAACAACUUAGGGUCACAACCCUUUACAUUUGAUGAUAAAUACUAAGUCUUAAACAUAAAGGAAAAUUCUUAAAGAAACAUAGACUAUGUCCUCAAACAUAUGAGGACAUACUAAUAUUGAGAGAUGAACUUCCCAAGAUUUGCCUUCUAAUAACCUUCACUUGCGUUCCACCUAUAAUUAUAGAAAUAUAGAAGAGUAUGGAAUUAGUAAAAACAUUGUACUAAGUAUGACAUUAUGCAAAUUCAUGCUAAAAGAGUAUAUUUUUGUUGAAACUGAAUUUUCAUGCUAUUCUGAUAAACCUUCUAAUCCACUUUAGAAAGCAUCAUAUAAGUCGCCAUGUAUCAUUUAAUGUAAGAGUUCCAUAAAUAUCACAUAUAGUCAAUUUAACAUCACAUGAACCUUCAUAUACAACAUUAUCAAAAAACUCUCCUAGGUAAGACUUGAAGAUACCACCCAUAAAACCACUUCAAUAGAAACCUAAGUGAUCCUUAAGACUACGAAAGAUCAGAUAUGUCAUUCCGACUCCACAAGUCAACAUUAAUUAACAAAGACAAUUAGAAGAACACAUAUGCAUUUAGAAACUUCACAUAAAUACCAUCCUCCAAGGCAGCCCCCAAGUUACACUUAGUGCAAUGUGAAAGUAGCAUCCCAUACUACUACUCCCACUAUAGUAUUAUUUAACAAUUCCCUUAGACUAGGCACAUCACACUCAUCAUUUACUUAACAUUAAUCAUAAAAGACAUAAUAUCGACAUACUUCAUUAAUCUUUGGCACAUAGUUAACAUGCUUCAUUUCAUAAUGUAUACACACAUCAUUGACAACAUAUAGUGACCUAUUCAUGCAUUUUUAUGUAAAUACACACUAAGACUCCCUCAAAAUUUCUACUUGUGCAAUGGAUAGAUAGCAUCCCACACCACCUACUCUAAGUAGUCGACCCUUCAGAAGACUUGGUUUAUAACAUUCAUUUGAGUCGAGUCUAUCUUUAACAGACAUAGACCAUGAGAGCAUAACAUAGAAUCCCGACAUUAACCCCUAACGGAUGAGGGAUCCUUACUAUCCUAAGGUAGGGUCAUAUUUUAGCCUUUACAUGGAUCUCAAAUAGCUAUACCUAUGCGGGUGCAUAGUUAAGGAAUAAAGAGAUUGCUUCUAAGCAACUCAUUCUCAACUAGCGAGGAGCACUCAUCUCAAGAAGUACAUUUGGAUACAACAUCUCUACUCAUGAAGUGUACAUUUUAAGCAGUAUCUAAUCACAAUAUAACACAAAGAAAACCAUAUUUAUAAAAUUCUCUAAACAUCUUCAUCAAACCCAAAUCAUAAGUCAAAAGUUGAGAAUUUGCAUGAGUAUGGGUUGUAAUACCUCUAAAAUGACUUAGGUAAAUCUAGAUCCUAACAUAUUUUUCAUGAGAGUCUAAGGUCAUAAAAUGGUCUAUAAUGUGGUAAUUACAAUUUUUAUAAAAUAUAUAGGUGAAUUAGAAGUCAAACAUCAAGGGAUGACAAAGACUUUCGACGACUACUGACUAAUGUGCCUCAUGUAUGGUUAUAUGCCUAUAUGUGCGUUUCAUGAGAUUAUGAGGUCCUUAUAUGAGUUAUUAUAGUUUUUAUAGGCAGUGUGUCAAGUUUCAUAAAGUUUUGAGGUCAAAUGUCCAAGAACAUCCAUGACGUUCGAAAGGUUUGCCUUGAAAGGGUCUUGUGUGUCUUGGCAUGUUUCAUCGACUUUUACGUGUUCAUUUUGGAUGAAAUUUAUGUGGUAGGUCGUAAACUCGCAUAUGAUCAUUUUUGGAUUGGAAACGUCCAGGUGAAAAUCCCCUAGGACAAACAAGGGUCCUUAAGGAAGAACCUAUCUUUGAGCCAAAGGAUGUCAAGACCAGCCCCAAUCGACUCAGGCAAUCAACGACGUGUAGGUUGUUUGACACCCCGUCGUUGAUGGACGUUUGUUAGGACUUAUAAGUGGGGAAUAUGUCCAUACAAGGACCACUCUCACACCCAAACCAUGAACCAGCAGGACAAUCCCGUCUAUAGACUAGUCUUUGAUGGGCCUGCAAUUUCGUAGGUUCACUGUUAAGUUGGAGGGUGAAUUGGUAAAUUCACCCAUCAUCCAAAUAAGAUUUUGUGCGGUUACUUAGGGGUAUUUUAGGUAGUUUAAGUGGCUUUAUAAGUGCUAAAUACCUACAUGAAUUGAUUCUUCCAAAUUAAAACCCCAAAAUGUCUAAAAAAAUUUCUAGAACUCCAUUGAAGCCAAAACUGAAGGAAGAGCUUGGAUUGGAUAUUUGAGUGGUGAUUCUUCAUAAAUGUCUUGUAUUAAAAUCAUCUAGGUGUGGUUUUUGAUCCUUGAAACUCUAUUCAUCAAUGAUCCCAAAAUUCAAAGAGAUUUAUAAGUUUUCUAAAGAUGAAGUUAUCCAAUUUUAUGAUCUAUCUAUGGGUUCUUGCGUUAAAGGUUUUAAAUCAUUAUAUAUUGAUUAUAUUGAUGCAACUUGUAUUAUUUAAUUGAAUUAACCUAUGAACCCAUGUAAACCAUGAACCAUAGUAUUUGGCUACUCUGUGGGUGACUUGAUAUUAUCUUAAUGCUUAUGAAUUUUAUUCUAGUUUUCUAUGGGCUAUUGAAUGAUGUAAAAAUUGUAUUAUAUUGAUGUAUAGGCUGUAUUAGAUUGAUAAAUAUACAUUGAAUUUACCUAGAUUCAUUGUGAAUUAUAUUUUUUGUAUUUAAUUGAGGAUCAUGGCCAUGGGUAAGGGCCUAUUGUUAUUGUACUGGACAAUUUAGCUAUGAAUAGAAGUGGUAAGAGUAGAUCGGUGGUAGGAUUCCCUAGUUCUUUUUAUUUUAUGUAAUGUAGCUAUUGAAUUAUGCUUUGAUCGGUAUGGUUCACUUAUGAUGGAGGUGCUAUGUGAAUGAUAUGGCCUUAUCGGCUGUACAAUGAAAAUCAUGGCCUUGUCGGCCCCACUUGAAGUGCUAUGAUAAUUUGUGUAGUUGAUUUAUGUGAAGUAUGUUCAUAUCUGUCUUCAUGUGCGUAAUGUAAAAGUAUGUGUUCUUCUAUUGCUGUUAGGUGAUCAUGUUAGACUAUGACUAUGUCCUUAUGUGUGUAGUCUUAGAGUUGAUGCAUGAUUAUUCCUACUUGGCUAUAUGAGUCUAUGAUAGUUACAUUGAUGAUGUAAUAGUAGUGUACUACAUCCUUAUGUGUGUAGUAUUAGAGUUGAUGCAUGAUUAUUUUUACUUGGGUAUAUGUGUCUAUAAUGGUUACAUUGAUGAUGUAAUCAUAGUGAAUAGGAUGACUUAAAGAUGAUAAUGAUUAUUACUAUGUGAAUCAAGAAUGAUAUGUUGUAUGUGAUAAUGUGAAGUCUUGGUGUGUCUUGCGUAGUAGACUUGUGUCACUUACUUGAUACUAGCUGGAUAACUGAUCACCUUCAAACUCCUGUGAAUCUUUCUAAAAUAUUUAACCCUCAGUCUUUUAAUUGGUUCGACUAUAAAAAUGCCUGGUUGAACUUUUUAUUUGUUAGGCCAACGACCCAUACAUGGUUCGUCAAAUAUUGCCCAGAAGUAGCAACUUCUGUAAUUCCCCGAUGGUUGUACGAGUGGUGGAGCUACUUCGGAGGUAACAAACUGGUUAUGCCUAGACAGUUUGAAGAGAGAUACUCCCAAUUCCAAAUUGAUGAGGGCAUCUCGACCCUUCCAGAAAACAUAAAGCUCUGUAAGUUUUUCAUUAAAAAACGUUAAUCCGAUAUCAUUAGUUGGACGUUUGUUAUUGCAGAGUUUGAAAGAAUUAAAUAUCUCUCCAAAGAGAUAGGAAUAAUGGGCUGGUCUCCUGCUAGAAAGGAAUCUCCAUCGACUUCUACAAACAAAACACAAAGAUGAAGUUUCACCUUCCAAGAGUGAAUUGAAAAAACGUCUUGAAAAGGUAUUAUCUGAAUUAGAUGAUGAAAAGGGUAAUCCAGAUGAAGCUGCUAUCAUGCAUCUUCUAGAUGAAGCUUCAUCACAAAGUGAUGACAAUGGCGAUAUGAUGUAUUCAAGAGCUCUUGCACAGUAUUAUCUUAAUACGUUUGAUUAAUCCUAAUUGAGCUUAUUAAAAAGUGGAAUAAUUAGCCUUCAGACAGAGAUCAAAGAUUGGAAUUGUCUAAGAAGGGGUAAAAGAGUCUCAAAGAGACAGAAUAUUCACUGAUUAAUCAUAUGGAACCUAGAGGGACCCACCACUAUAAAAGAAGAUGCUUUCCCUACCGAAAGUUGUUUGGACUAUCCGGAAAAGAAGAAAAGCAAGGUCCCCACUAAUAUUAUCGCCAGACAAAGAAAUCUGGAUUCACCAAUUGAAAGAAGAAAAAUACAUUCUUUCUUAUCUCAUCAAUCUUUUAGCCUAUAUAAAGGCCAGUUGUAAGUCUCCUAGAUCAUGUUAAAUACUUUACUUCUUGUUAUCGUAUUUAAUUCUGCAAAUUUUUUGUAUCAAAGCCAUGUUGCUUGUAAGCAUGCGUAGCUAAUUUCCCUACUUAAACUACUUUGAAUGCUUCUAGAUUAGGUUAUACAUUUGAAUACAGUUAUUAUGUUUAUAUUAUCUCUUUAUCAUACAUAUUAAAUUCUAACUUGAGGUUUUGAAUGACUGUUGAAAUGAGGUUGUCAAGUAAUGUUGACUUUUAAUAGAGUAGCCAGAAAGGGAUAUCGUUUUAAGACCAGAGAGGCUAGCUUGAUCCAAGGCGUUUCUAUUACCAAUACCUUUCAAUGAUUUCAAGUAAAAUCCAAUAUAGUUGAGUUUUAUUAUGUCAUGACAACAGAUUAAUUAAAACCAUGAUUCUUCUAUUCUCAUAUAUUCUUAAUUUUGAUUUAUUCAUUGUAAAAUAGCUUCUAUAGGACAGUAUCUUUUACAAUGAAUUCUUCUAAUUUGGUUAAUUCUGUUAAUGUUUCUAUCUCUAAAAUAGAAAAUGAUUUGCAAAAUUGGGACAUCCCUUGAGAGUCCGUAGAAAAGAUUUAUCAGUUAGGUACCUUCUCUAUGUUCAAACGUUUUAAUAUAAAAACUUGUGAACAAACUAUUACUAUUAACAAUAGCCUUGAAACUAUUAAGUUGUUAAUUGUUGCCAACUUAGAUCGUUUUAAAAAGGAAUUUAAUUUUCUUCAUAUUGGUCUUGUUCAGAUUGCUCUUAAGCCUUCGUUCCGAAAAGGAUUAAAUAUUCCUAUAUGUUUACUCUUGCGUGAUGGUAGACUGCUAAACUUUGAUGACUCCCUGUUAAGAGUCUUAGAAAGCAACCUAGCUGAUGGCCUGGUUUACUUUAACUGUUAUCCCAACUAUUCAAUUGAUAUCAAUGACCCCAACAUCAUUGAUACUUUGACGCUCAACGUCAAAACCAAAAACAUGAAUAGUAAGUUAGACACCAGAGAAAUAGCUGUAAUAUACAGGGUAUAUUACAAGCUAAUGAAAACCACAAUAGCCCAAAGGCUAUUAAGGUUAGUGCUAGGGGUUUUACUAUGCUCAUGGAAGCAAACCAAGAACAUAGCACUACUUUCGUUCCCAGGUUAUUAAAAUGGAAUGACAUUCUUACUGAUGAAGAAUGGAAUUUCCAAUCAAUAACAAACCCUUUACCCGUCCAAGCUGAAAAGUCUCAACUUGACCGAGUAAUUCAGUUUCCAGAUGGAUCUGUUAACCUUAAGUUUCUAAGAUCCAACUCUUUUAGCCGGGCUACUUCAAGUAGAAGAAUGUCUUCGGCCAGACCUUCUUCCUUUUUCUGGGUAGAGGAAGAACACGACGAUUCUAUUUCCAUUGAUGGACCCAUUUAUGUUGAUAAAGGAAACUUCACGGGGUUGACUUCUCCCAAAAUAUCCCUAAGGCUUCCUACGAAAAUGCUGGUAGUCCUACUCCCAGUGACAUGAAACCUGAUGAACCUAAGAUAAGUUCCCUUGGAGUCAUUACAGAAGGAAAUUUUAUCCCUAAUAAAGAGCUUCUCAAUCAAUGGUGGAAACUCCCUGAGCACAAGCAGAAGGUUGAAUGGUAUAAAGCUACCUACCCUUUGUCCAAAAGAAAUUCCUUUAGAGACAACUGAUAUAAAGAUAUGAAGAGAUUCGAAACUAAAGUAGAAUUCUUCAAAUGGUUUGAGCUCUCAUGACAAAUUGAUGAUACCAAAUCAUCCCUUCAAGUCCUUGUCAACAAAUGGCAUACUAGGAAUGAAGUAGUUGAAAGUGUUACCCCUCCAAUAGAAGGGCUAAAAAUCCCUUACCGAAAGGACAUUAUUAUCGCCUCUCCUUUCAAGAAAAACAUUGAGAAAAGUACUUCCCUGAUUAAUACAGAGGACAUUAACCGAAUUUCGGAGCAGAACAAUUAUACCAACCAAAUUCUCCAUGUCGUAUCAAGACAAAUAGAAGAAUCUACCAAAUAGAAAGAUUCUAGUCAAAUAGGUGAAAAACCUAGCUCCUCCAAAUCUUUUAGAAAAAUGGAAACCGUCCCCAUCUUCAAGGUCCCUGAGUUUUCCAAAGAUAAUUUUCCCGACUUAAGCAAAGAAGCUAAUAAUUCAAGCCUUAUUGAGAAAAUCAGAAACUACUCUCUAAGCUUAAUGUCACCAAAGGAAAUAAGCUCAGCGCUAUCCAGUCUGAUAAUAGAUUCCCAAUAGGAGAAACUUUUAUCCUAGACCUUCCUUUCUUGAUACCCAGUUUGAAGAAAGUCAUCUUCACCCUUACUCGCAUGUCGACGAAACCGGCAUAUCUGAGUGUAACAUUGAUGGUAUGGCAGAAGGUCAAAUUUAUAGCAAGUUGCAGGAAAUAGAAAUUUCUGUAACAUCUUAUAAAUUAAGAGGUGCUUCUGACAAACAAGCUACCCAUAGGGUCAUAGCAGGUUUCACUGGAACACUAAAGAACUGGUGGGACAAUUAUUUGACAGAACAGGAUAAAGGCACCAUCCUCAACGCUAUGGUUGUAAAAACCAUCGUUAAAGAAGAAAAUGGAGCCUCCACCUCAACUGAAGUCCGUGUUGAAGAUUCAUUUCCCACCUUGGUAUAUAGCAUCGCUAAGCAUUUCAUUAAAGAACCUAGACUUUUCCAAGAUAGAAGUCUUGAGAUUCUUAACAAUCUAUACUGUAAGAAGCUUACAGAUUGGAAGUGGUAUAAAGACAUGUUUAUAACAAAAGUUAUGAUUAGACAAGAUUGUAACAAUGAUUAUUGGAAAGAACAUUUUAUCAGUGGACUACCCUCACACUUUGCUGAAAAGGUGAGAUCUAAGAUCAAAGACAGAUGUGAAGGAAAAAUUCCUUACAACCUUUUGUCUUAUGGUGAUUUAAUCACCGUCUUAACCAUAGUUGCCAUGGAGUUAUGUACAGAUCUUAAGUUAAAGGAACAACUUAACAGAGAUAAAAGAAUGACAUCUGCGGAAUUAGGAAGCUUUUGUCAAGACUUUGGAUUUCCAUCCUUAAAACCCCCUUCAGCAAACAAAGCUGAUAAAAAUACUCGUCAAAGAAACCAAAAGGUCUAUAAAAGAAAUGAGUCUACAAAGACCAAGGAUCACAAGCAUAAAAGAAAGUCUAAAGGAAAAACUUCAAAAGAUUCUUCUUCAGAAGACACAUGCUGGACAUGUGGAAAGAAAGGACAUAGAUCAAACCUAUGCCCAAGAAAUAAGAAAAAGAAGAAAAAGAUUAGUGUUCUCAAAGUUGAUGAAGAAAUCAAAAACAAGCUCUUCUCCAUCCUUGAAGAAGAAGAAUCAGAAUCUGAUUUUGAGUGAAAAAACUCUCAGGAAUCUUCCGAAGAAAGUGAUCAAGAAUUCUUUAAUGUAGCUCAAAAUUCAGAAGAUGAAACAACUUGUGACUGUCACGGACCUUUUUGUCUCUGUGGCGCUAAGGAAAUAAACGUUCUCUCAGAAUAAUCUGCAGAAACUUUGUUCGAUACCAAUUUACAUAUUCAAGAUGAAGAUGCAAGAAGAAAGUAUCUCCUUGAAUUGCAAAAGCUGGUCACUAGACAUCAGCAAGAUGAAAAGCCUCACAUAGAACCUUUCAGUAUGAAACAGAUUAUGAGCAGAUUUGAUUCUAAGAAGGAAGAACCUUCUAUCAAUGAACUCAGAGGAGAAGUCAAAACUCUCAAAAACGAAAUUAGAGACAUUAAAUCUUGACUUCAUUUUCUAGAAAUUAAUGAUCUGGAUAACAAGGUCAUCGAGACCUCCUCCAAAGGCAAAGCUCCCAUGAAUUAUCCGGGAGAAACAACUGAUCAACAAGAUAGCGAUUAUGAUACAGCAGGAGUCACCAUGAUCACCAAAGUCAGACCCCAAAGCUCUCACAUUAUGAUAAGGCUUGUAGUGAAUGAUAACUUGGUUCUCAACAAGAUAGCUUUUUAGAUAGUGGAGCAGAUCGUAACUGUAGAGUAGAAGGUUUAAUUCCCACUAAGUACCUUUAGAAAGGUACCACCAGGUAAUAUAGUGCCACAGGUGAACGCAUUAUUAUUGAUUAUAAAUUGCAUAAUGCUCAUAUUUGUAAUAAUGGUAUUUCUUUGACAAAUGAUUUUGUUAUUACAAAAAAUAAUAACGAAGAAAUUAUUUUGGGAAUUCCUUUCAUUAGUCAGAUUAAACCUUUUAUCUCAAACUUUGAUGCUAUCAAAACUACUAUUUUAGGUAAAGAUAUUUCUUUCCCUUUUAUCAAAACUCUUUCCGAAGAUGAACGAAAUUUCAUUCACAAGAAAACUGCUUUUAAAUUGAACAAUUUAUAUCAGCAAAUCAGCUUUCUUAAAGAUGAUAUUAAAUAUCAAAAAAUUGAAGAAAUUUUAAAAACAUUGAAAAUGGUCACUAAGAUUUACAACCUAAAAAAGAUUUUCGAAAAAGAAAUUUGUUCUGAUUUUCCUAACUCCUUUUGGGAUAGAAAAUUCCAUACUGUUGAUCUUCCUUACAUUGAUGGAUUAAAUGAAAAAGCCAUUUCUACUAAAGCUAGGCCUAUUCAAAUGAAUCAUGAAUUAAUGGAAAUUUGUAAAAAAGAAAUUCACACUCUUUUGGCUAACAAAAUUAUUUGACCUUCUAAAUCUCCUUGGAGCUGUUCAGCCUUUUACGUUAACAAUGCAGCAGAAAAAGAGAGAGGAGCUCCCAGGUUAGUUAUUAAUUAUAAGCCCUUAAACAAAGCUUUGAAAUGGAUCAGAUAUCCGAUCCCCAAUAAAAGGGAUCUUUUGAAACGAACUUUAAAAGCUAAUGUUUAUAGUAAAUUUGAUAUGAAAUCAGGCUUUUGGCAAAUUCAAAUUUCUAAAAAGGAUAAAUAUAAAACUGCUUUCAAUGUCCCCUUUGGACAAUUUUAAUGGAAUGUUAAGCCUUUCGGGCUCAAGAAUGCUCCUUUCAAAUUUCAAAAUAUCAUGAACUCUAUUUUUAAUAAUAUCUGUCAAUUCUCAAUUGUUUAAAUUGAUAGCGUUUUAAUAUUCUCUGAGGACAUUGAUUCUCAUUUUAAACAUUUGAAUAUAUUCUUUAAAAUAGAUAAGCACAAUGGCUUUGUCGUUAGUGCUAAAAAGAUUUUAUUAUUUGAAACAAAAAUUAGAUUUUUGGGUCAUGACUUGUUUCAAGGAACCUAUAGACCUAUUUGCAGAGCUAUUGAAUUUGCUGAUAAAUUUCCUGAUGUUAUUAUUGAUAAAACUCAGUUACAACGAUUUUUAGGUAGUCUUAAUUAUGUUGCUGAUUUCAUUCCAAAAAUCAGACAGAUUUGCAAACCUUUGUAUGACAGGCUAAAGACUUCUCCUAGUCCUUGGACUAAGUCUCAAACUCAGGCUGUUAUUCAAAUUAAAGAACUUUUUAAAAAUCUUCCUUGCUUGGGGAUUUCUAACCCUAGUUAUUUUAUGGUAGUUGAAACUGACACAUCUGACUUUGGUUAUGGAGGCAUUCUUAAACAAAGAAGAGCCCCUAAAGAACCUGAACAACUGGUUAGGUUUACUUCUAGAAUUUGGAAUUCCGCGCAAAGUUAUUAUAGCACCGUAAAGAAAGAAGUUCUUGCUAUUGUUCUUUGCAUAACUAAGUUCCAAGAUGACUUGAUUAACAAAGAAUUUUUACAUAAGGUAGAUUGUAAAUCUGCUAAAGAAAUCCUUGAAAAGGAUGUUAAAAAUCUUGUCUCUAAACAGAUAUUUGCUAGGUGGCAAGCUUUAUUAUCUAGUUUUGAUUUUCAGAUCGAAUAUCUUAAGGGAGAAGAUAACUCCCUCCCAGAUUUUCUAACCCGAGAAUUUUUGCAGGGUAAGAAUGAGCCGAGGAAAGCAGCAGAUUAGACCAAACAAGCCUACUGGGCUAAACCCUGGAGCAGGACCAUUUGCUAUCAGGCCAGACCUGAGUCAAAUAAAUAUUCAGCAUUGGCCCAUUUCCCUCCAAUUAUUUUAUCAGCACUACCGCAAAGUAGUUCUUCAAAUAUGUUGAUUCUGAAGAAACCAUUCUCCAAGGAUCCUAAGCCCUGCUCUCAGUCACCUUCAGGAAAAUUUAGAUUUUCCCAAAAACAAACCAGUGACAGCUAUGCGAUGAAGCAACCCGAAAACUUCGCAGAAGCAGUCUCCUCAGCAUCCAAAAUAACUGCAGAAAAGAUUCUUUCCAAAGAGAAAGAAAAAUUUGAAGUAUAUCCUUUAAAUACAUUUCCUAUCCUUGCUAUUGAUAAGGAAUCCGAAAAUUUUCCAUCUAGAAAAUUAAAAAGAAAACCUCUCUCUUGUACAAUACUAGUUUGAAUGUUGGAAUAAAAUCAACUUUUAAUUUUGUAAGUCUCCUAGAUCUUGUUAAAUACUUUACUUCUUGUUAUCGUAUUUAAUUCCGAAAAUUUAUCACCAUAUAACUGGAUAACUGAUCACCUUCAAACUCCUAUGAAUUUUUCUAAAAGAUUUAACUCUCAGUCUUUUAAUUGGUUCGACUAUAAAAAUGCCUGGUUGAACUUUUCAUUUUUUAGGCCAACGACCCAUACAUGGUUCGUCAAAUAUUGCCCAGAAGUAGCAACUUGUGUAAUUCCCCAAUGGUUCUACGAGUGGUGGAGCUACUUCGGAGGUAACAAACUGGUUAUGCCUAGACAGUUUGAAGAGAGAUACUCCCAAUUCCAAACUGAUGAGGGCAUCUCGACCCUUCCAGAAAACAUAAAGCUCUGUAAGUUUUUCAUUAAAAGAUGUUUAUCCUAUAUCAUUAGUUGGACGUUUGUUAUUGCAAAGUUUGACAGAAUUAAAUAUCUCUCCAAAGAGAUACGAAUCAAGGGUUGGUGUCCGGCUAGAAAGGAAUCUCCAUCGACUUCUACAAAGAAAACACAAGACGAAGCUUCACCUUCCAAGAGUGAAUUGAAAAAACAUCUUGAAAAGGCAUUAUCUGAAUUAGAUGAUGAAAAGGGUAAUCCAGAUGAAGAAUCUAUCAUGCAACUUCAAGAUGAAGCUUCAUCACAAAGUGAUGACAAUGGCGAUAUGAUGUAUCCAAGAGCUCUAGCACAGUCUUAUCUUAACCCGUUUGAUUAAUCCUAAUUAAGAUUAUUAAAAAGUGGAAUAAUUAGCCUUCAGGCAGAGAUAAAAGAUCAGAAUUGUCUAAGAAGGGGUAAAAGAGUCUCAAAGAGACAGAAUUUUCACUGAUUAAUCAUAUGGACCCUAGAGGGACCCACCACUAUAAAAGAAGAUGCUUUCUCUACCGAAAGUUGUUUGGACUAUCCGGAAAAGAAGAAAAGCAAGGUACCCACUAACCUUAUCGCCAAACAAAGAAAUCUGGAUUCACCAAUUGAAAGAAGAAAAAUAGAUUCUUUCUUAUCUCAUGAAUCUUUUAGCCUAUAUAAAGGCCAUUUGUAAGUCUCUUAGAUCUUGUUAAAUAAUUUACUUCUUGUGAUCGUAUUUAAUUCCGCAAAUUUUAUGGUAUCAAAGCCAUGCUGCUUGUAAGCAUGCGUAGCUAAUUUCCCUACUGUACCGGAGGUUAAACUACUCUGAAUGCUUCUAGAUUAGGUUAUGUAUCUGAAUACUAUUAUUAUGUUUAUAUUAUCUCUUUAUCAUACAUAUUAAAUUCGAACUUGAGGUUUUGAAUGACUGUUGAAAUGAGGUUGUCAAGUAAUGUUGACUUUAAAUAGAGUAGCAAGAAAGGGAUAUCGCUGUAAGACCAGAGAGGCUAGCUUGAUCCAAGGCGUUUCUAUUACCAACAGUUUUCAAAGAUUUCAAGUAAAAUCCAAUAUAGUUGAGUUUAAUUAUGUCAUGAUAACAGAUUUAUUAUAACCAAAAUUCUAGUAUUCUCAUAUAUUCUUAAUUUAGAUUUAUUCAUUGUAAAAUAGCUUCUGUAGGACAGUAUCUUUUAAAUGAAUUCUUCUAAUUUGGUUAAUUCUGUUAAUGUUUCUAUCUCUAAAAUAGAAAAUGAUUUGCAAAAUUUGGACAUCCCUCGAGAGUCCGUAGAAAAGAUUUAUCAGUUAGGUACCUUCUCUAUGUUCAAACAUUUUAAUAUAAAAACUUGUGAACAAACUAUUGCUAUUAACAAUAGCCUUGAAACUAUUAAGUUGUUAAUUUCUGCCGACUUAGAUGUUUUAAAAAGGAAUUUACUUUUCUUCAUAUUUGUCUUGUUAAGAUUUCUGUUAAGCCUUUGUUCCGAAAAGGAUUAAAUAUUCCUAUCUGUUUACUCUUGCGUGAUGGUAGACUUCUAAACUUUGAUGACUCCCUGUUACGAGUCUUAGAAAGCAACCUAGCUGAUGGCCCGAUUUACUUUAACUGUUAUCCCAACUAUUCAGUUGAUAUCAAUGACCCCAACAUCACUGAUACUUUGAUGCUCAACGUCAAAACCAAAAACAUGAAUAGUAAGUUAGAAUACUGAGAAAUAGCUGUAAUAUACAGGGUAUAUUACAAGCUAAUGAAAACCAAAAUCGCCCCAAAGGCUAUUAAGGUUAGUGCUAGGGGUUUAACUAUGCUCAUGGAAGCAAACCAAGAACGUAGUACUACUUUCGUUCCUAGGUCAUUAAAAUGGAAUGACAUUCUUACUGAUGAAGAAUGGAAUUUCCAAUCAAUAACAAACCCUUUUCCAGUUUAAGCUAAAAAUUCUAAACAUGACCGAGUAAUUCAGUUUCCAGAUGGAUCUGUUAACCUUGAGUUGCUAAGAUCCAACACUUUUAGCCAGGCUACUUCAAGUAGAAGAAUGUCUUCGGCCAGACCUUCUUGCUUUUUCCGGGGAGAGGAAGAACACGAGGAUUCUAUUUCCAUUGACGAACCCAUUUCAGUUGAUAAAGGGAAACUUCGCGGGGUUGACUUCUCCCAAAAUAUCCCUACGGUUUACUAUGAAAAUGCUGGUAGUCCUACUCCCAGUGACAUGAAACCUGAUGAACCUAAGAGAAGUUCCCUUGGAGUCAUUACAGAAGGAAAUUUUAUCCCUAAUAAAGAGCUUCUCAAUCAAUGGUGAAAACUCCCUGAGCACAAGCAGAAGGUGGAAUGGUAUAAAGCUACCUGCCCUUUGUCCAAAAGAAAGUCCUUUAGAGACAAUUGGUAUAAAGAUAUGAAGAGAUUCAAAACUGAAGUAGAAUUCUUCAAAUGGUUUGAGCUUUCAGAACAAAUUAAUGACACCAAAUCAUCCCUUCAAGUCCUUGUCAACAAAUGGCAUACUAGGAAUGAAGUGGUUGAAAGUGUUGCCCCUCCUCUAGAAGGGCUAAAAAUCCCUUACCGAAAUGACGUUAUUAUCGCCUCUCCUUUAAACAAAAACAUUGAGAAAAGUACUUCCCUGAUUAAUAUAGAGGAAAUUAACCGAAUUUUGGAGCAGAACAAUUAUACCAACCAAAUUCUCCAUGUCGUAUCAAGAAAAAUAGAAGAAUCUACCAAAAAGAAAGAUUCUAGUCAAAUAGGUGAAAAACCUAGCUCCUCCAAAUAUUUUUGAAAAAUGGAAACCGUCCCCAUCUUCAAGGUCUUUGAGUUUUCCAAAGAUAAUUUUCCCGACUUAAGCAAAGAAGCUGAUAAUUCAAGCCUUAUUGAGAAAAUCAGUGAACAACUCUCUAAGCUUAAUGUCAUCAAAGGAAAUAAGCUCAGCGCUAUCCAGUCUGAUAAUAGAUUUCCCAAUAGGAGAAACUUUUAUCCUAGACCUUCCUUUCCUGAUACCCAGUUUGAAGAAAGUCAUCUUCACCCGUACUCGCAUGUCGACGGAACCGGCAUAUCUGAGUGGAACAUUGAUGGUAUGGCAGAAGGUCAAAUUUAUAACAAGUUGCAGGAAAUAGGAAUUUCUGUAACAGCUUAUAAAUUUAGAGGUGCUUCUGACAAACAAGCUACCUAUAGGGUCAUAUCAGGUUUCACUGGAACAUUAAAGAACUAGUGGAACAGUUAUUUGACAGAACAGGAUAAAGGCACUAUCCUCAAUGCUACGGUUGUAAAAACCUUCGUUAAAGAAGAAAAUGGAGCCUCCACCUAAACUGAAGUCCCUGUUGAAGAUGCAUUUGCCACCUUUGUAUAUAGCAUCGCUAAGCAUUUCGUUGGAGAACCUAGACUUUUCCAAGAUAGAAGUCUUGAGAUUCUUAAUAAUCUAUACUGUAAGAAGCUUACAGAUUGGAAGUGGUAUAAAGACAUGUUUAUACCUAAAGUUGUGAUCAGACAUGAUUGUAACAAUGAAUAUUAGAAAGAACAUUUUAUCAGUGGACUACCCUCACACUUUGCUGAAAAGGUGAGAUCUAAGAUCAAGGACAGAUGUGAAGGAAAAAUUCCUUACAACCUUUUGUCUUAUGGUGAUUUAAUCAGCGUCGUAACCAUAAUUUCCAUGGAAUUAUGUACAGAUCUUAAGUUAAAUGAAAAACUUAAGAAAGAUAAAAGAAUGACAUCUGCGGAAUAAGGAAGAUUUUGUCAAGAUAUUGGAUUUCCUGCCUUAAAACCCCCUUCAGCAAACAAAGCUGAUAAAAAUACUCGUCAAAGAAACCAAAAGGUCUAUAAAAGAAAAGGGUCUACAAAGACCAAGGAUCACAAGCCUAAAAGAAAGUCUAAAGGAAAAACUUCAAAAGAUUCUUCUUCAGAAGACACAUGCUGGACAUGUGGAAAGAAAGGACAUAGAUCAAACCUAUGCCCAAGAAAUAAGAAAAAGAAGAAAAAGAUUAGUCUUCUCAAAGUUGAUGGAGAAAUAAAAAACAAGCUCUUCUCCAUCCUUGAAGAAGAAGAAUCAGAAUCUAAUUCUGAGUCAAACAACUCUCAGGAAUCUUCUGAAGAAAGUGAUGAAGAAUUCCUUAAUGUAGCUCAAAAUUCAGAAGAUGAAACAACUUGUGACUGUCACGGACCUUUUUGUGUCUGUGGCGCUAAGGAAAUAAACGUUCUCUUAGAAAAAUCUGCAGAAACUUUGUUCGAUACCAUCGAACAUAUUCAAGACGAAGAUGCAAGAAGAAAUUAUCUCCUUGAAUUGCAAAAGCUGGUCACUAGACAUCAGCAAGAUGAAAAGCCUCACAUAGAACCUUUCAGUAUAAAACAGAUUAUGAGCAGAUUUGAUUCUAAGAAGGAAGAACCUUCUAUCAACGAACUCAGAAGAGAAGUCAAAACUCUCAAAAACGAAAUUAGAGACAUUAAAUCUAGACUUCAUUUUCUAAAAAUUAAUGUUUUGGCUAACAAGGUCCUCGAGACCUCCUACAAAGGCAAAGCUCCGAAGAAUUAUCCGGGAGAAACAACUAAUCAGCAAGAUAGCGAUGAUGAUACAGCAGGAUUCACCAUGAUCACCAAAGUAAGACCCCAUAGCUCUCACAUUAUGAUAAGGCUUGUAGUGAAUGAUAACUUGGUUCUCAACAAGAUAGCCUUAUUAGACAGUGGAGCAGAUCGUAACUGUAUAGUAGAAGGUUUAGUUCUCACUAAGUACCUUCAGAAAGGUACCACCAGGUUAUAUAGUGCCACAGGUGAACGCAUUAUUAUUGAUUAUAAAUUGCAUAAUGCUCAAAUUGGUAAUAAUGGUAUUUGCUUGACAAAUGAUUUUGUUAUUACAAAAAAUAAUAACGAAGAAAUUAUUUUGGGAAUUCCUUUCAUUACUCAGAUUAACCCUUUUAUCUCACACUUUGAUGCUAUCAAAACUACUAUUUUAGGAAAAGAUAUUUCUUUCCCUUUUAUCAAAACUCUUUCCGAAGAUGAACGGAAUUUCAUUCACUAGAAGAUUCUUUUAAAUUGAACAAUUUAUCUCAGCAAAUCAGCUUUCUUAAAUAUGAUAUUAAAUAUCAAAAAAUUGAACAAAUUUUAAAAACUCCGGAAAUGGUCACUAAUAUUUCCAACAUAAAAAAGAUUUUCGAAAAAGAAAUGUGUUCUGAUUUUCCUAACUCCAUUUGGGAUAGAAAAUCCCAUAAUGUUGAUCUUGCUUACAUUGACGGAUUCAAUGAAAAAUUCAAUUCUACUAAAGCUAGGCCUAUUCAAAUGAAUCAUGAAUUCAUGGAAAUUUGUAAAAAAGAAAUUGACUGUCUUUUGGCUAAGAAAAUUAUUUGACCUUCUAAAUCUCCUUGGAGCUGUUCAGCCUUUUACGUUAACAAUGCAGCAGAAAAAGAGAGAGGAGCUCGCAGGUUAGUUAUUUAUUAUAAUCCCUUAAACAACGCUUUGAAAUGGAUCAGAUAUCCGAUCCCCAAUGAAAGGGAUCUUUUGAAACGAACUUUUAAAGCUAAUGUUUAUAGUAAAUUUGAUAUGAAAUCAGGCUUUUGGCAAAUUCAAAUUUCUGAAAAGGAUAAAUAUAAAACUGCUUUCAAUGUCCCCUUUGAACAAUUUGAAUGGAAUGUUAUGCCUUUCGGGUUCAAGAAAGCCUCUUCCGAAUUUCUAAAUAUCAUGAACUCUAUUUUUAAUCAUAUCAGUCAAUUCUCAAUUAUUUACAUUGAUGACGUUUUAAUAUUCUUUGAGGACAUUGAUUCUCAUUUUAAACAUUUGAAUAUAUUCUUUAAAAUAGUUAAGCACAAUGGCCUUGUCGUUAGUGCUAAAAAGAUUUUAUUAUUUGAAACAAACAUUAGAUUUUUGGGUCAUGACUUGUUUCAAGGAACCUAUAGACCUAUUUGAAGAGCUAUUGAAUUUGCUGAUAAAUUUCCUGAUGUUAUUAUUGAUAAAACUCAGUUACAAUGAUUUUUAGGUAGUCUUAAUUAUGUUGCUGAUUUCAUUCAUAAAAUCAGACAGAUUUGCAAACCUUUGUAUGACAGGCUAAAGACUUCUCCUACUCCUUGGACUAAGUCUCAAACUCAGGCUGUUAUUCAAAUUGAAGAACUUGUUAAAAAUCUUCCUUGCUUGGGGAUUCCUAACCCUAGUUAUUUUAUGAUUGUUGAAAAUGACGUAUCUGACUUUGGUUAUGGAGGCAUUCUUAAACAAAGAAGAGCCCCUAAAGAACCUGAACAACUGGUUAGGUUUACUUUUGGAAUCUGGAAUUCCGCGCAAAGUAAUUAUAGCACCGUCAAGAAAGUUUUUGCUAUUGUACUUUGCAUCACUAAUUUCAAAGAUGACUUGAUUAACAAAGAAUUUUUAUUUAGGGUAGAUUGUAAAUCAUCUAAAGAGAUCCUUGAAAAGGAUGUUAAAAAUCUUGCCUCUAAACAGAUAUUUGCUAGGUGGCAAGCUUUAUUAUCUAGUUUUGAUUUUCAGAUCGAAUAUCUUAAGGGAGAAGAUAACUACCUCACAGAUUUUCUAACCCGAGAAUUUUUGCAGGGUAAAAAUGAGCCGAGGAAAGCAACAGAUUAGACCAAACAGGCCUACUGGGCUAAACCCUGGAGCAAGCCCAUUUGCAAUCAGGCCAGACCUGAGUCAAAAUAAAUAUUCAGCAUUGGCUCAUUUCCCUCCAAUUAUUCCAUCAGCACAACCGCAAAUUAGUUCUUCAAAUAUGUUGAUUCUGAAGAAACCAUUCUCCAAGGAUCCUGAGCCCAGCUCUCAGUCACCUUCAGGAAAACUUAGAUUUUCCCAAAAACAAACCAGUGGCAGCUAUGCAAUGAAACAACCCGAAAACUUCGCAGAAGUAGUCUCCUAAGCAUCCAAAAUGGCUGCAGAAAAGAUUCUUUCCAAAGAGAAAGAAAAAUUUGAAGUAUAUCCUUUAAAUACAUUUCCUAUCCUUGCUCUUGAUAAGGAAUUUGAAAAUUACGAAAUUAAAUAUCUGCUUAAACCUGUCUAAACUAACAGGAAUUAUGUAGAUAGUGGUAACUCUCUCAAAACCAAAAAAUAUUAUGAAUUCAUCUUGGUUGACACAGGAUCAGUUGAAAUAGAACAUGAAUUGGCAGAUCAGUCAAACCCUGACAGCAUAGCCUAUUCAAAGUUUACUAUUAAAAAGAUUUUAUCACCAUAUAACUGGAUAACUAAUCACCUUCAAACGCCUGUGAAUCUUUCUAAAAGAUUUAACCCUCAGUCUUUUUAUUGGUUCGACUAUAAAAAUGCCAUGUUGAACUUUUUAUUUGUUAGGACAACGAACCAAUAAAUUUGCGGAAUGAAAUACGGUAAUAAGAAGUAAAGUAUUUAACAAAAUCUAGGAGACUUACAAAAUUAAAAGCUGAUUUUAUUCCAACAUUCAAACUAGUAUUGUACAAGACAGAGGUUUUCUUUCAAUUUUCUUGAUGGAAAAUUUUCGGAUACCCCUUGAAAUAUUACAGAUGGCCUUUAUAUAG
RNAcentral lists this long non-coding RNA (18533 nucleotides) under Solanum lycopersicum (tomato). RNAcentral's name for it is "long non-coding RNA (SLYC_LNC001129)". The record is from RNAcentral. Lineage: Eukaryota; Viridiplantae; Streptophyta; Magnoliopsida; Solanales; Solanaceae.